CUUUGAUCCGAGCAACACACACAAGUGAGCCCAAGAUUCCUGAAGCUAGCGCUUGGAGCACCCAAAAUUCAAAAACCAGAGCCUCCCUCCUUCUGUGUAUCUCCUUGCUUAUGCUUCAAAUUCAACACAGAAAUCACCACCAUUUUCAUCUCUCAAACAAGCUUUAAUGGCCUCAAACUCUCUUCACAACGAUCUCUUCUCCUCUUUAAUUUCAGAUAUCAAAUCCUAUUCUGGCAAGGACCCUCUUCUCCCCUGGCUUCGGUACUACUCUCUCUCUGUAUACAAAUUCAUGGGUACAUUCUAUCUCCGUCUUUCCAGUUCUGAGUUUGAAUCAAAUUUAUUUUCAGGGGCAUUAAGAAAAUGAAGGAAACUCUGCCCCAAAAUCUAUUGAAGGAAAAGUUGCCUCGGUUUUUGCAGAAAUGCACACAGACUUUUGAGUCUGAUCGUCGUUAUAGAAAUGACUUACGGUAUCUUCGUGUUUGGUUACAGCUGAUGGAUUAUGUGGAUGAACCAAGAGCAUUAUUGAGAACCAUGGAAAUGAAUGCCAUAGGGUCAAAGAGAUCAUUGUUCUAUCAGGCCUAUGCGCUUUACUAUGAGAAGAUGAAGAAAUUUGAGGAGGCUGAGAAGAUGUAUCAUUUAGGGGUGCAGAACCUUGCAGAGCCUGUUGAUGAACUACAGAAAUCAUAUGAGCAGUUCCUUCAACGCAUGGAGAGACACAAGAACAAAAAAAUCCAGGAAGGUAGGCCUGGCAGAAAACCUCUGUCAUCCAGGAAGACCGAAGAGAACAAUGAAAAUGCAUGCAACAUUGAGGAGAAGCCUAAAAAGAUACUGGAUAGAAGUUCUCAGAAUGUGAAGCUGCAGAAUGAAUCUAACAAUGCCAUGAUUUUAGGAAAUUCAUGUAAUGUUGAACGUGGUGAUUCAUCUGUGAAGAAAGAUAAUGUGCAAAAGAUUACACCUAGAGAUAUAUUUGAGCAGCAAAUGACUACUGGAACAGAGUCACAGGGAUCCAGGAUGUUUCAUGGUGAUGACACGGUUGUGGUGAAGUUUGUAGACACCGCCAUAGUUGGAAAGUCUGAAGCAGAAGAUGCGUGUCAUCAUGGACUGGUGGAUCCAACCAUAAAUAUGAAGGAAGCCAUGAAUGCCAUCAAUAGCAUGUUUAAAGAGCCUCUAGAGACUGCUCCAAUUAGUAGGAGGUCACAGAGAAGUCGAACAAAAGAACAUAACUUGAACUGUGGAUACACUGUCUUUGCAGAUGAAAACUUGGAUAAUAGAACUGGAUCAUCAAAUCAAAAAGAAGAAGAAGAUGUCUUACUGAUUAAGCAUGGUAGAGCUCAAACUUUCCAGCUUCAACAAGAACCACUUCAAAUAUUCAUCGACGAUGAAGAAAGUGAUGAGAAUGGAGACAGACCUGAUGGGAAUGACAACUCAGAACAGAGUGACGGUCAAAUCCAGGCAGAAGGCUCUUGCUCAUCUGCUUCACAUUUGAAUGCUUUUGUAUUCCCAUUUCCAAAGGAUUUACCAUCUGAAAACUCAGAUGAUGUGGAUUCAGAGAAUUCACCCCAAAUAAAGCUUAGAGAAGACACAGUUGUUCAUAGGUUUGUUGGGUCUACCAUCUUGGAUGACCCAGCAGUCGAAAAUGUUUGGCACCAUGGCUUAGUAGAUCCUACAGUUAACUUGAAGGAGGCUAUGGAUGAUAUAAACAACAUGUUUGGCAAGCCAAUAGAUUUUGUAAGGACCAAGAGACCAAAGAAGCAGGAAAAAGCACCAGUUACAAAACAAGAUCUUGGUGUAUUUUCAAUACUUCCUGAUGAUGAUUUGGAACAUCAAAAAGAUCAGCCACCACCAAGAUCAUCUGGCAGAAGUGAUACUGACUUGUUUGAGCCUACUUUUUUUACCAAAGAAGCAAAGGAUGAGAUAAAUAAGAUGUUUGGAAUGCCAUUGGACUUUUAGGAGCAAGUGUUAAUUGUGUUGUAGGAAAUUUCAGCUCAUGGACAUGUUGUGAUCUAAAUCAUGCACAAGUACUUGAAUUCCGAAAAUUUUCAAGUAGAUGGCAUCUCUUUGAUCCUUCUUUAUACGAAUUGUGAGAUGCAAAUUUCGUGUAUGCUUGUGCUAUAUUCCUCUAAUCUAUGUGGUCUUCAUGUGUCCUGUACUUUUAUGUUAAAAAAGUUGGAAAAUUUACUAGCCUUGAAGCAGGAAAAUUGGUAUUGCAUUUCAUUGCAAA
This 2221-nucleotide unclassified non-coding RNA is filed under the name Hevea brasiliensis (rubber tree). The record is from RNAcentral. Lineage: Eukaryota; Viridiplantae; Streptophyta; Magnoliopsida; Malpighiales; Euphorbiaceae.